Sitophilus oryzae (rice weevil) is the source of this 283-nucleotide long non-coding RNA. RefSeq lists it as uncharacterized. NCBI's taxonomy places the organism in Eukaryota, Metazoa, Arthropoda, Insecta, Coleoptera, Curculionidae. The transcript has 2 exons. The record is from RefSeq and is a predicted model, not a curated record.
GUCUGUUUUAAAGUUUAAAAAGGUGUCAUAGGAUGCGUGCGUUCCGGUCAGAGCAACCCCAUUAUCAGCGGGAUUGGAUUUAUUCAGUCCUCUCGAUUGUACAAUCGCCCCACAAUCAAAAUAAUUGAUAAAUACGGGACUGCAAGUGGAAAUUCCUGGAGGAUCUUUUUUGAAGAUUGAAGCUCGGUCAAGUUUGGCUUUGAACUAUUCCAUUCUUUGUGGAGCUGGUGUUAUUGAUGAAGACUAUCGGGGCGAAGUUAAAAUUUUAUUAUUUAAUAUUAGU